GCGCCUUUAGCUCAGCUGGUAGAGCAACUGACUCUUAAUCAGUGGGUCGCAGGUUCGAUUCCUGCAAGGCGCACUA
This 76-nucleotide transfer RNA is filed under the name candidate division Zixibacteria bacterium RBG_16_43_9. RNAcentral describes it as "tRNA-Lys". It matches the Rfam family "tRNA". Rfam says of the family: Transfer RNA (tRNA) molecules are approximately 80 nucleotides in length. The record is from RNAcentral. Lineage: Bacteria; Pseudomonadati; Candidatus Zixiibacteriota.